RNAcentral lists this long non-coding RNA (211 nucleotides) under Manihot esculenta (cassava). RNAcentral's name for it is "long non-coding RNA (MESC_LNC002490)". Lineage: Eukaryota; Viridiplantae; Streptophyta; Magnoliopsida; Malpighiales; Euphorbiaceae. The record is from RNAcentral.
CUCCAGUAACCACUCCCUUAUCUUUUUCAGAAUUUGAAUUUAAAUUAGGCCCGUGAUAAGCGGCAUAAUCUUGAUCAGUUUCCAUAGCUGAACCACUACUACCUUCUGAUCGGAAAGACCUCCCCGGCGUACGAAGCCACCGUGAGCUCUUGUUCACCAUUCCCCCUCUGCGAGGUUUAGCACGGAUGUCCAGAGAAUAGUUGCGAGGGGC